RNAcentral lists this ribosomal RNA (537 nucleotides) under Cheilosia soror. Its description in RNAcentral is "partial large subunit ribosomal RNA". The record is from RNAcentral. Lineage: Eukaryota; Metazoa; Arthropoda; Insecta; Diptera; Syrphidae.
CAUCACUAAUAACUAUGAUAUUUAUAAUAUUAUAGAAAUGGUGUGCAAUUUUUCCAUAUAAGGACAUUGUAAUCUGUUAAUGUAAUAAAUAUUUAUUAAAAGAUCUUAUACAUAAGUUUAUUCAAAUUAGUUAUUUUCGGAUUUCUAACAUAGAAUAAAUGUAUUUGAUUUAAUAAAUCAUUGACAGAUUUAAUUAUAAUAUAGUGCUUAAAUUUUGAAAGAAAUUUUACAAUAAUAUGAUAAUUCAAUUUGUUAUAUUUAUUGUAUGCACUUAUAUGAUUAACAAUGCGAUAGAUUCAGGAUACCUUCGGGACCCGUCUUGAAACACGGACCAAGGAGUCUAACAUAUGUGCAAGUCAUUGGGUAUUUUUAAUAAAACCCAAUGGCAUAAUUAACUUAACUGUUUUUUAAAUGGGAUUAGUUUAUAUUUUAUUAUGAAAUAUUAAUUCAAUCCCGGGGCGUUCUAUACAGUUAUGCAUAAUGAUAUUUAUAUUAUUUAUGUCUCUAACUAGAGCGUACCUUGAGCAUAUAUGCUGU